This 500-nucleotide ribosomal RNA is filed under the name uncultured bacterium. Its description in RNAcentral is "partial 16S ribosomal RNA". It matches the Rfam family "Bacterial small subunit ribosomal RNA", at positions 30 to 523 of the family's 1533-position model. The record is from RNAcentral.
AUUGAACGCUGGCGGCAUGCCUUACACAUGCAAGUCGAACGGCAGCACGGGAGCAAUCCUGGUGGCGAGUGGCGAACGGGUGAGUAAAGUAUCGGAACGUGCCCAGUCGUGGGGGAUAACGUAGCGAAAGUUACGCUAAUACCGCAUACGAUCUAUGGAUGAAAGCGGGGGAUCGCAAGACCUCGCGCGAUUGGCGCGGCCGAUAUCAGAUUAGGCAAUUGGUGGGGUAAAGGCUCACCAAGCCGACGAUCUGUAGCUGGUCUGAGAGGACGACCAGCCACACUGGGACUGAGACACGGCCCAGACUCCUACGGGAGGCAGCAGUGGGGAAUUUUGGACAAUGGGCGAAAGCCUGAUCCAGCCAUGCCGCGUGCAGGAUGAAGGCCUUCGGGUUGUAAACUGCUUUUGUACGGAACGAAAAGGUUUGGCCUAAUAAGCUGAGCUCAUGACGGUACCGUAAGAAUAAGCACCGGCUAACUACGUGCCAGCAGCCGCCGUAA